Molecule: long non-coding RNA, 295 nt
Organism: Centropristis striata (black sea bass)
Lineage: Eukaryota; Metazoa; Chordata; Actinopteri; Perciformes; Serranidae
Exons: 3
Source: RefSeq, a predicted model, not a curated record
ACCAUUAAAGUUGCUGCUUUCUUUGUUAUUUGUUUUUGGAGCUUCUGGACCUGCACCUGCCUGCCACAGAAUAAGACUGGGAGAGAAUAAGGAGGUUAGCGGCACCUCUCAUCUUCUAUUUGUCAGCCUGUAAAGCUCUUUGAGAUGACAGACUGUGAUUUGGCUGCAUUAACAUGAACUUGAAUUAGCUCAAGCUGUGAGACUUUGGUUGCAGGUAACUGAAGGUUAAACUAAUAGCAGCAUUUUCUCUCCAUCUAUGGCUGUGUCCAUUAAAGUCAAAGCAAAUACUGAAAUG